RNAcentral lists this ribosomal RNA (406 nucleotides) under uncultured bacterium. Its description in RNAcentral is "partial 16S ribosomal RNA". It matches the Rfam family "Bacterial small subunit ribosomal RNA", at positions 29 to 526 of the family's 1533-position model. The record is from RNAcentral.
AUUGAACGCUGGCGGCAGGCCUAACACAUGCAAGUCGAGCGAGCGGCGGACGGGUGAGUAAUGUCUGGGAAACUGCCUGAUGGAGGGGGAUAACUACUGGAAACGGUAGCUAAUACCGCAUCCCAUCAGAUGUGCCCAGAUGGGCUUAGCUAGUAGGUGGGGUAACGGCGCACCUAGGCGACGAUCCCUACCUGGUCUGAGAGGCGGACCAGCCAAACUGGAACUGAGACACGGUCAAGACUCCUACGGAAGGCAGCAGUGGGGAAUAUGGCACAAUGGGCGCAAGCCUGAUGCAGCCAUGCCGCGGGUGUGAAGAAGGCCUUCGGUUUGUAAAGCACGUUCAGCGGGGAGGCGUUACCCGCAGAAGAAGGAACGGCUAACUCCGUGCCAGCAGCCGCGGUAAUAC